RNAcentral lists this ribosomal RNA (253 nucleotides) under uncultured bacterium. RNAcentral's name for it is "partial 16S ribosomal RNA". It matches the Rfam family "Bacterial small subunit ribosomal RNA", at positions 524 to 776 of the family's 1533-position model. The record is from RNAcentral.
UACGUAGGGUGCGAGCGUUGCCCGGAUUUAUUGGGCGUAAAGGGCGCGUAGGCGGUCAAGCACGUCCGUUGUGAAAUCGCCCGGCUCAACUGGGCGGGGUCAGCGGAUACGGCGCGGCUGGAGCAAGCUAGGGGGCAAUGGAAUUCCCGGUGUAGUGGUGGAAUGCGUAGAUAUCGGGAGGAACACCAGUGGCGAAGGCGGUUGCCUGGAGCUUUGCUGACGCUGAAGCGCGAAAGCUAGGGGAGCAAACAGG